RNAcentral lists this ribosomal RNA (468 nucleotides) under uncultured bacterium. RNAcentral's name for it is "bacterial SSU rRNA". It matches the Rfam family "Bacterial small subunit ribosomal RNA", at positions 28 to 508 of the family's 1533-position model. The record is from RNAcentral.
GAUGAACGCUGGCGGCGUGCUUAAUACAUGCAAGUCGAACGGAGAGUUCUGUAGCAAUACGGAACUUCUUAGUGGCGAACGGGUGAGUAACACGUUGGUGACCUGCCCCGAAGUGUGGGAUAACAGUCCGAAAGGAUUGCUAAUACCUCAUGUGGUUAUUAGGUUUAGAAGCUAAUAACUAAAGCAGCAAUGCGCUUCGGGAGGGACCUGCGCCCCAUCAGCUAGUUGGUAGGGUAACGGCCUACCAAGGCUUCGACGGGUAAGGGACCUGAGAGGGUGGUCCCUCACAAUGGCACUGAAACACGGGCCAUACACCUACGGGUGGCAGCAGUAGGGAAUAUUGGGCAAUGGGCGAAAGCCUGACCCAGCAACGCCGCGUGUGCGAUGAAGGCCUUCGGGUCGUAAAGCACUUUUCUGAGGAAUGAGAAAGGACAGUACCUCAGGAAUAAGUCUCGGCUAACUACGUGC